UGGGGAAUAUUGCACAAUGGGCGCAAGCCUGAUGCAGCGACGCCGCGUGGGGGAUGACGGCCUUCGGGUUGUAAACCCCUUUCGCUAGGGACGAAGCUUUUUGUGACGGAACCUAGAUAAGAAGCACCGGCUAACUACGUGCCAGCAGCCGCGGUAAUACGGAGGGUGCGAGCGUUGUCCGGAAUUACUGGGCGUAAAGGGCUCGUAGGUGGUUUGUCGCGUCGGCUGUGAAAUUCCGGGGCUUAACUCCGGGCGUGCAGGCGGUACGGGCAUGACUUGAAUACUGUAGGGGUAACUGGAAUUCCUGGUGUAGCGGUAAAAUGCGCAGAUAUCAGGAGGAACACCGAUGGCGAAGGCAGGUUACUGGGCGGUUACUGACGCUGAGGAGCGAAAGCAUGGGUAGCAAACAGG
RNAcentral lists this ribosomal RNA (411 nucleotides) under Actinomycetes bacterium. RNAcentral describes it as "Actinobacteria bacterium partial 16S ribosomal RNA". It matches the Rfam family "Bacterial small subunit ribosomal RNA", at positions 355 to 776 of the family's 1533-position model. The record is from RNAcentral. Lineage: Bacteria; Bacillati; Actinomycetota; Actinomycetes.